UAGCUUCCUUUUUCUUCCCUGUGCCAAAAGAUGUUUUUCUACAGUCAUGGUAUAGUAUACAUUUUAUGUCUAGUUAUUUUACUAUUAACUUAAAUGUUUUACUUGUGCUUUAUUAUGGUAGAAUAUACUAAGCAUAAUCUUCCAUUUCGACAGUUUUAAGUUUAUAGUUCGCUGGCAUUAAAUACAUAGACACUGUUUUAAAACUGUUUCUGGAUUGUCUUUAGGUUCUUGUAUAUGAUUUUUAUGGAAUCUUAGACUUCUCGUUAGUCCUGACUUUAUGUGUAAUUGUGACGAUGAUUACUGUAGUUAUCAUUCAGCACAUGCCUGGGGAGUGUCUUCUGUGGGUCACUCCUGUGGUGACAGGCUCAUCUACAUCAGCUUGGAACUGGGAAGUGAGGGGAGCAUGUGCUGCCUUGAGGACUACAAUGGAAUGUUACCCCCGACAGAAAGAGUCAGUGUUUUAUGAAGCAGGGUGAGCAGGCAAAAAUAAUCGAGUUACAUAUGCCAGGGCCAACAGAUUCUUCAUUUGUGUGUCUAUUCUAAGACAUAUGGAACAAGGGCUACUUUAGGCUUCUUUGCAGAGCUAGCAGCAACAUUGUAGAUAUACUUUCCUCACAGGUUGUGUUUUUAUAGAUGAAUCUGUGCAUGUGGAAUUGUUGUGGCAAACGUGCCAAACACAUUGCUGUUUGUCCAACAUUGCUAAGACCAUGCUGAAUUCCUCGUAGAGCCAGAGCCUUUGUCAGUAGGCAUUGGCACCAACUCAGUUGAACAAACACUUUGCUCCGAGUUGCUUUCAGUGAUGUAAGGAGACAGAGAAAAUAGUUCCAUCUGCAUUACUGCACAAUACAUGCUUUUAGUCAUGAGUGGGCCAGCAACUGUGGGUGAGCCACAUUCUUUCAGGGUCUGUGGUAUUAGUUUUAGAAGUUGUCCUGCCUUAUUUUAAACUUCUUCAAAGAAGAUGAAAAGAAGUACUAUAUGUCUAUACUAGCUUCUCUACAGUAUAUGUGAGAAUUGUAGAUUAAUACCUUCUCAUUUAGUGGCCACUAAAAUGAAUUGGGCAGGUCUAAUUAGUAUAUUUAUUAUAUAUGCGAGGUAAUCAAUGGCUUAGUGAUGAGUUGUUGUUGUUUUUUAAACGAUUGAAUGCACUAACAGGAAAAUUGACAUUUGGAUACAUCUUGAAAUUUCUAAAUAAUACUAUUAAUUAGCUAAUAGUAUCUGGAUUAAUUAACAGUCUAAGCAGUUUGUCUUAAAGCCAGCUCCCAAGUUGCAUGUGUACAUAGUGAUGAUGAUUAGCUGACCAUUCAGUACUUAACAUGGUACCAUUCCUUGAACUUUCUGAAUGUCAGCUCUUGCUUCUCAGCCACAUUUCGACCAAAAAUCUAUUAUAUGAUAAUCUGGUACCUUGUACAUUAAUUUGCCUACUUUGCCUUUUAUUAGAUUAGUCAGCUUUUCUACAGUAUAUUCCCAUACCAAUGUGUUUUGAUCUCCUAAAGCAAAUAUUUAUUCUUAUAUAACAUU
RNAcentral lists this long non-coding RNA (1518 nucleotides) under Mus musculus (house mouse). RNAcentral's name for it is "long non-coding RNA chr7:56178264-56179782". Lineage: Eukaryota; Metazoa; Chordata; Mammalia; Rodentia; Muridae. The record is from RNAcentral.